AGUGAACGCUGGCGGUAGGCCUAACACAUGCAAGUCGAACGGCAGCACAGUAAGAGCUUGCUCUUACGGGUGGCGAGUGGCGUACGGGUGAGGAAUACAUCGGAAUCUACUUUUUCGUGGGGGAUAACGUAGGGAAACUUACGCUAAUACCGCAUACGACCUACGGGUGAAAGCAGGGGAUCUUCGGACCUUGCGCGAUUGAAUGCGCCGAUGUCGGAUUAGCUAGUUGGCGGGGUAAAGGCCCACCAAGGCGACGAUCCGUAGCUGGUCUGAGAGGAUGAACAGCCACACGGGAGCUGAGACACGGGCCAGACUCCGACGGGAGGCAGCAGUGGGGAAUAUUGGACAAUGGGCGCAAGCCUGAUCCAGCCAUACCGCGUGGGUGAAGAAGGCCUUCGGGUUGUAAAGCCCUUUUGUUGGGAAAGAAAAGCAGCAGGUUAAGACCCCGCUGUUCUGACGGUACCCAAAGAAUAAGCACCGGCUAACUUCGG
This 491-nucleotide ribosomal RNA is filed under the name uncultured bacterium. RNAcentral describes it as "partial 16S ribosomal RNA". It matches the Rfam family "Bacterial small subunit ribosomal RNA", at positions 29 to 506 of the family's 1533-position model. The record is from RNAcentral.